GACGAACGCUGGCGGCGUGCUUAACACAUGCAAGUCGAACGGCGUGUCGACAGGGUGAGUAACACGUUGGUGACCUUCCCUUCACUUCGGGCUAAGCCUGGGGAACUGGGUCUCAUACCGGAUAGUGUGGGUAGGGGCCGCGGCCUAUCCGCUUUUUGGUGGGGUAAUGGCCGGCCAAGGCGGCGACGGGUAGCCGGCCUGAGAGGGUGGACGGCCACAUUGGGACAGAGACAGGGGCCAGAAGGCGACGUGGGGCAGGAGUGGAGAAUAUUGCACGAUGGGCGGAAGCCUGAUGGAGCGACGUCGCGUGGGGGAGGACGGUCUUCUGGUUGGAAACUCCGUUCACCAUAGACGCGGUAGAUGGAGAAGAAGCACCGGCUAACUACGUGCCAGCAGCCGCGGUAAUAC
Molecule: ribosomal RNA, 408 nt
Filed under: uncultured bacterium
Lineage: Bacteria
Description: partial 16S ribosomal RNA
Rfam family: Bacterial small subunit ribosomal RNA
Source: RNAcentral